This 301-nucleotide ribosomal RNA is filed under the name uncultured Bacteroidota bacterium. RNAcentral describes it as "bacterial SSU rRNA". It matches the Rfam family "Bacterial small subunit ribosomal RNA", at positions 509 to 809 of the family's 1533-position model. Lineage: Bacteria; Pseudomonadati; Bacteroidota. The record is from RNAcentral.
CAGCAGCCGCGGUAAUACGGAGGGUGCAAGCGUUAUCCGGAUUCACUGGGUUUAAAGGGUGCGUAGGAGGGCAGGGAAGUCAGUGGUGAAAUCUCCGGGCUUAACUCGGAAACUGCCGUUGAUACUCUCUGUCUUGAAUCCCGUGGAGGUGAGCGGAAUAUGUCAUGUAGCGGUGAAAUGCUUAGAUAUGACAUAGAACACCAAUUGCGAAGGCAGCUCGCUACACGAAGAUUGACUCUGAGGCACGAAAGCGUGGGGAUCAAACAGGAUUAGAUACCCUGGUAGUCCACGCCCUAAACGA